RNAcentral lists this ribosomal RNA (900 nucleotides) under Bacteroides ovatus. RNAcentral describes it as "partial 23S ribosomal RNA". It matches the Rfam family "Bacterial large subunit ribosomal RNA", at positions 1 to 912 of the family's 2925-position model. The record is from RNAcentral. Lineage: Bacteria; Pseudomonadati; Bacteroidota; Bacteroidia; Bacteroidales; Bacteroidaceae.
AAGAAAGUAAUAAAGGGCGUAUGGGGGAUGCCUAGGCUCUUGGAGGCGAAGAAAGACGUGGUAAGCUGCGAUAAGCCUCGGGGAUUUGCAAACGAGAAUUGAUCCGAGGAUUUCUGAAUGGGACAACCCGGCAGGCAGAAGGCCUGUCACACGAAAGUGGGCCAACCCUCUGAACUGAAACAUCUUAGUAGGAGGAGGAAAAGAAAGAAACAUCGAUUUCCUAAGUAGCGGCGAGCGAACGGGAAACAGCCUAAACCACAAUUGUUACGGCAACUGUGGGGUUGUAGGACUGCAAUAUUCAAAUGACUGUGAACUGGAAUGUUCUGGAAAGUUCAUCCAAAGAGAGUGAAAGACUCGUACAGGCAAGCACGUCAAGCGAUAGCAGUAUCCUGAGUAGGGCGGGACACGAGGAAUCCUGUCUGAAUCCGCCGGGACCACCCGGUAAGGCUAAAUACUCCCAAGAGACCGAUAGUGAACCAGUACCGUGAGGGAAAGGUGAAAAGAACCCCGAACAGGGGAGUGAAAUAGAACCUGAAACCAUACGCUUACAACCUGUCGGAGCGGCUUCGUGCCGUGACGGCGUGCCUAUUGAAUAAUGAGCCUACGAGUUACUAAUCACUGGCAAGGUUAAGUGCACGGAUGCACGGAGCCGAAGCGAAAGCGAGUCUGAAUAGGGCGUUUAGUCAGUGGUUGUAGACGCGAAACCUUGCGAUCUACCCUUGAGCAGGUUGAAGGUUGGGUAAAACCAACUGGAGGACCGAACGAAUAAGCGUUGAAAAGCUUCUCGAUGACUUGAGGGUAGGGGUGAAAGGCUAAUCAAGCUGGGAAAUAGCUCGUACUCCCCGAAAUGCCUUUAGGGGCAGCGUUGUAAUUAAGAGUCUACUGGAGGUAGAGCUACUG